This 1429-nucleotide ribosomal RNA is filed under the name uncultured organism. RNAcentral describes it as "16S ribosomal RNA". It matches the Rfam family "Bacterial small subunit ribosomal RNA". The record is from RNAcentral.
GGGCUUAACACAUGCAAGUCGAGGGGUAACAGGGUGUAUUUAUACACCGCUGACGACCGGCGCACGGGUGAGUAACGCGUAUGCAACCUGCCUUUGACAGAGGGAUAGCCCAUGGAAACGUGGAUUAAUACCUCAUAGUCUCUUUUUUCUUCCUGGGAAAUAGAGUAAAACGUCAGUGGUCAAAGAUGGGCAUGCGUCCUAUUAGGCAGUUGGCGGGGUAACGGCCCACCAAACCGAUGAUAGGUAGGGGUUCUGAGAGGAAGGUCCCCCACACUGGUACUGAGACACGGACCAGACUCCUACGGGAGGCAGCAGUGAGGAAUAUUGGUCAAUGGUCGAGAGACUGAACCAGCCAAGUCGCGUGAGGGAAGACUGCCCUAUGGGUUGUAAACCUCUUUUCUACUGGGAGAAUAAGCCUUAUGUAUAAGGUGAUGACAGUACAGUAGGAAUAAGCAUCGGCUAACUCCGUGCCAGCAGCCGCGGUAAUACGGAGGAUGCGAGCGUUAUCCGGAUUUAUUGGGUUUAAAGGGUGCGUACGCGGCUUUAUAGUUUAGUGGUAAAUUUCGGAGCUUCACUCCGGUCCGCCAUUAAAACUGUAGAGCUAGAGAAUGGACGAGGUAGGCGGAAUAAGUUAAGUAGCGGUGAAAUGCAUAGAUAUAACUUAGAACUCCGAUAGCGAAGGCAGCUUACCAGACCAUAACUGACGCUGAUGCACGAGAGCGUGGGUAGCGAACAGGAUUAGAUACCCUGGUAGUCCACGCCGUAAACGAUGCUCACCGGCCCUUAGCGAUAAGACAGUUAGGGGUUAAUUGAAAGAAUUAAGUGAGCCACCUGGGGAGUACGUCGGCAACGAUGAAACUCAAAGGAAUUGACGGGGGCCCGCACAAGCGGAGGAACAUGUGGUUUAAUUCGAUGAUACGCGAGGAACCUUACCUGGGUUUAAAUGUAUAUUGCAUAAUCUGGAAACAGUUUUUCUCUUCGGAGCUAUAUACAAGGUGCUGCAUGGUUGUCGUCAGCUCGUGCCGUGAGGUGUCGGGUUAAGUCCCAUAACGAGCGCAACCCUUACCGUUAGUUGCUAGCAUGUAAUGAUGAGCACUCUAGCGGGACUGCCACCGUAAGGUGAGAGGAAGGGGGGGAUGACGUCAAAUCAGCACGGCCCUUACAUCCAGGGCGACACACGUGUUACAAUGGCCAUAACAGCGGGUAGCUACCGGGUGACCGGAUGCAAAUCUCGAAAAUUGGUCUAAGUUCGGAUUGGAGUCUGCAACCCGACUCCAUGAAGUUGGAUUCGCUAGUAAUCGCGCAUCAGCCAUGGCGCGGUGAAUACGUUCCCGGGCCUUGUACACACCGCCCGUCAAGCCAUGGAAGCUGGGAGUACCUGAAGUCCGUAACCGCGAGGAUCGGCCUAGGGUAAUACCGGUAACUGGGG